UGGACGGUGAGAGGAGCUCUACAACCACUUAAAGCUGCUUUGUGGUAAGAUCUGUUAUUAAAACGCUAUAGAGAUAAAACUGAAUUGAACUUGAUUUAGCGUACUAGUAUGAAAACCAUCACAUACGUCUCGUUGGCUCACUUAUGUCAAAAUGGCUCCGCGACACGUGACCCAGACGAGUGUUUGUAAACACGCGUCCAAAGCAUGUGAUUGCGAUGACGCAAAAAGGCGGCGACGAAUAGGAAGCUGGGGGUGUGUGAAAGUGGGGCGGGGUUCAAAUGUGGCGCUGUGGAAAUUCUGAUGCGCUCUCACAAGGUGUUUCGGACAUCUCGGAAACGCUGAACGGACACUGAAGCAGCGGCGCGACGAUGCUCUAGAAGUAAAUAAGCAAGUGAAAUGACUGUGGAAGUGCGUAAAAUACGAAUAACACGGUUAUUCAGGGGCACGGAAACGAUUGCACUCAUCAGUCCUUCUUCCAGUUAAUCAAGAGUGAAGAGUGCUCCCAGGCACACGGGAUAUGGCACAAAACCAAGGACAAGUGGGAGACACCUGACCAGUCAGCCAGUUCUGUCAGGACUGAUAAAAGGAAUGUUUUGCAUAUUCCUGAAGAAUCAUCUCUGGGUGGAGACAAGAGAAAUGUAGAGGUUUGUACAUGUCCACCUAAUGGAAUGUAUAUAGGAAAUGUGCGCAAACUAGGUUGAGAAACAAGUAUCCAUUGUCUGGUCAAAAAUGUAAGCUAAGGCUGUUGGAACUGUAGUCAUAAAUGUGAAUUAACAUUUUAUGCACUUGUUUGACAUGUAAAACUUGCAAUAUGUUGCUGAUGGAACAUUGUGUAGAAAGUUAAUAAAUGUGUCUUACAUUCAUUUUUCUGUUUUAUGUUUG
Long non-coding RNA from Pangasianodon hypophthalmus (striped catfish), 882 nucleotides. RefSeq lists it as uncharacterized. NCBI's taxonomy places the organism in Eukaryota, Metazoa, Chordata, Actinopteri, Siluriformes, Pangasiidae. The record is from RefSeq and is a predicted model, not a curated record. The transcript is spliced from 5 exons.